This 231-nucleotide unclassified non-coding RNA is filed under the name plant metagenome. Its description in RNAcentral is "partial contains small subunit ribosomal RNA, internal transcribed spacer 1, and 5.8S ribosomal RNA". The stretch from base 183 to 231 matches the Rfam family "5.8S ribosomal RNA", at positions 1 to 49 of the family's 154-position model. The record is from RNAcentral.
UUUCCGUAGGUGAACCUGCGGAAGGAUCAUUCAUAAUAAAGUGUUUUAUGGCACUUUUUAAAAAUCCAUAUCCACCUUGUGUGCAAUGUUAGAUCUCGUCAAUCUUGGCGAGAUUUUUAUACAUCAACUCGUUCUUUAACUAAUUUGUCUGAAAAAUAUUAUGAAUGCUUAAUUCAAAAUACAACUUUCAACAACGGAUCUCUUGGCUCUCGCAUCGAUGAAGAGCGCAGC